AGGAAGUAUCUUUAAGAAAAACUAAUUUAUUUUGGCGGCAUUUCAUCUUAUUAGAGGAACUUGUUUAAUAAUCGACAAUCCACGAUAAAUUUUACUUUAUCAAAAACUUAUAUACCGCCAUCUAAAGAAUUAAUAUCAAAAUAUUUUCUUAAGAAAAAAUAAAAAGUUAGGUCAAGGUGUAGUAAAUUUUAAAGAUAAAAUGAGUUACUUUUAAUUAAAUUUCAGGAUUAAUUAAUUAAAAUCUCUUAUGAAAAAGGAUUUAUUAGUAUUAAUAUAAUAAUAAUUCAUUAUGAACAAGAUAAUAAAUGUGC
RNAcentral lists this ribosomal RNA (311 nucleotides) under Gallieniella mygaloides. RNAcentral describes it as "partial 12S ribosomal RNA". The record is from RNAcentral. Lineage: Eukaryota; Metazoa; Arthropoda; Arachnida; Araneae; Gallieniellidae.